Long non-coding RNA from Balaenoptera ricei (Rice's whale), 1114 nucleotides. RefSeq lists it as uncharacterized. The transcript has 3 exons. NCBI's taxonomy places the organism in Eukaryota, Metazoa, Chordata, Mammalia, Artiodactyla, Balaenopteridae. The record is from RefSeq and is a predicted model, not a curated record.
UGGAAUGAAAUAUUGCUUUAGAACAAAGAACAAAACAUAAGCUAGUUCAGACCAGUCCAGGAUAGGAGGGGAGAUAAGCCCUGCUGAAGAGCCCUGUUGAAAUCACAAAUGCUGUGUUAUCGUGGGAUGGAGAAAGAAGAUAAGUGUAACAUUUCUGUCUCCUGCCCACAUCAAUUGAGGUGAUGGAAGAUGUGACUGCCCAAGAGAAUUAAGGUUAGGAAGUUUGACCCACAUUCAGGUGUCAUUGACGAGCCCAAGAAGCUUCAAGGCUGUCCAGUCUGUCCUGCCGCCGGUACCACCUAGUGGCAGCCAAGAACAUGUCAGGUGGCUCCCAGCCGUGCCUUCAAGUCUGCUCAGGCAAUUUCCCUCCUGAGAUAAAUGAGCUCCGAAAAGAUUCACAGGCUCUAGACAGUGCGGGACUGCCAAGGACCACAUGUAUUUGGCCAAAGUGAAGGCUCGAAACCACUAACCAAAGGGCUCUUGCGGAGACAGAGGUGGACACAGCUUCGGCUCCUGUGCAGAGGUGGGACUUUCAGGCAGCAGAUGUCCACCGGGGGCGGAGCUCCAGUUCUCCGGGAGUCCAGGCGUUCCAGCCUCGGCCAUGUGGAUCUGCCUAGACGUGCCCUGACUUCUCAUUCCCGUGACUUUCCUUCUGGUAAACGCCUCUCAGCUCUACAGACUCUGACUUCCUCAGAUCCGCUGAGGUUAACCCAGUUGAAUUAACCCAGUUUCUGAUUUAGGUUCUUCUCUGACCCACACUUGCUAGGUGCUGCCUUCUCAGGCAUGGCCUCCUUGGCCUGCCUGGUCUUCAGCCUCAUGACUCCAGCCUCGAUGAAGACACACAGAGGAUCAGCAGACCAUCUGUGGAAAACAGUGAACUCUUCUCCGAUGGUUUAUGAGGAACAUUUGACUUGUCAGUUUUCCGGAAGGAUUUAUAUAAAUGAAAGAAAGAGGCGAGGACUGCACUGGCACACCUACCCCUUGGAAGUCUGUUCAGUGGUCUGCCCUCUGAAAUUUUAUUCCCUGAUGCUUUGUGGAGAUGGUUUGACCCUGACAGCUUGAUUUCUAGUCUCAGGGGCCCUUUUGCAUCAGUGUCUUCAGGUUUUAAAAAAAG